RNAcentral lists this ribosomal RNA (253 nucleotides) under uncultured bacterium. Its description in RNAcentral is "partial 16S ribosomal RNA". It matches the Rfam family "Bacterial small subunit ribosomal RNA", at positions 524 to 776 of the family's 1533-position model. The record is from RNAcentral.
UACAGAGGGGGCAAGCGUUAUUCGGAAUUAUUGGGCGUAAAGGGCGCGUAGGCGGCCUGGCAAGUGGAAGGUGAAAUCCCUCGGCUUAACCGAGGAACUGCCCUCCAAACUGCUUGGCUUGAGUCCGGGAGAGGUGAGUGGAAUUCCCAGUGUAGCGGUGAAAUGCGUAGAUAUUGGGAGGAACACCAGUGGCGAAGGCGGCUCACUGGACCGGUUCUGACGCUGAUGCGCGAAAGCGUGGGGAGCAAACGGG